CUUCUUCAGAUGAGGUGGGUCUUUCAGUGGAGGUACUUCACUGUUAUGAAAGAGUUCAUCUGCAAAGGCCAUCAUGGCAGAAGUAUCUUCCCCACAGUUGUCUUUGUUCUUCAUCAUCUUCUUCU
Telopea speciosissima is the source of this 125-nucleotide long non-coding RNA. RefSeq lists it as uncharacterized. The transcript is spliced from 3 exons. Lineage: Eukaryota; Viridiplantae; Streptophyta; Magnoliopsida; Proteales; Proteaceae. The record is from RefSeq and is a predicted model, not a curated record.